This 753-nucleotide non-coding RNA is filed under the name Arcoscalpellum epeeum. Lineage: Eukaryota; Metazoa; Arthropoda; Thecostraca; Scalpellidae. The record is from RNAcentral.
AAACGUUGAGGUCCGUGGCGUUAUUUUGGUGAAAAAUUAAUUUUACAUGUUAAUAAACCUAAGAAACCUGAAUACCCUUGUGGGCUAAGAAAUUCUCAGUAAUUAAUAUUAAAGAAUAAAACAGUUUUUGAUUUAGUUUAUAUUUUAGAAAUGGACAAUAGCGUGCCAGCAGCCGCGGUUAUACGCGUAUUUCAAAUCAAAAUUUGCACGACAAAAUUUCCUUUAUAAACUGAUAGCUGUUUACUUAAUUUUAUAAGGUAAAAUUUAAAAACUAAGAAAAGAGCUUAUUACUUAAAGGGACAAAGAAUUUUAAGAACCAGGAUUAGAUACCCUGUUACAAAUUUAAAAAGAAAUUUUGGAGGAAUAUUAUUUAGUAAAUUUAACGGAUUUGGCGGCAAAAUAUCCCAUCUAGAGGAACCUGCCCUAUAAACGAUACCCCACGAUUAAUUUUACUUUUAUUUGUAAUCAGUUUGUAUAUCGCUGUUGUUAGUUAGCUUCUUUAGAAGACUUUCCUUAAUGAUAUAUUCAUUGACUUCAAGUAAAGGUGCAGCUUAUAUAAAAGAAAGAGGUGGGUUACAAUUAAUAGAAUAGUGAAUUUUUUAAAAAAAAUGUAAAAAUUAAUGAAAAUGGAUUUAGAAGUAAUUUUUUAUAAAUAAUUUGAUAAGAGUAUUAUUUUGUGUACACACCGCCCGUCGCUCUCCUUUUUAAUGGGGAUAAGUCGUAACAAGGUAAAUAUAAUGGAAAUUGUAUUUG